Molecule: ribosomal RNA, 500 nt
Filed under: uncultured bacterium
Lineage: Bacteria
Description: partial 16S ribosomal RNA
Rfam family: Bacterial small subunit ribosomal RNA
Source: RNAcentral
GACGAACGCUGGCGGCGUGCUUAACACAUGCAAGUCGAACGGGCCUGUCUUCUUUUUUGGGGGUGGGUUGAGUGGCGAACGGGUGAGUAUCACGUGAGUAACCUGCCCUUCGGUCCUGGAUAACCGCUUGAAAGGGCGGCUAAUACGGGGUGGUCCGGUUGGUCCGCAUGGGCUGGUCGGGAUAGAUUCACUGUUUUUGGUGUUUCGGCGGGGGAUGGGCUCGCGGCCUAUCAGCUUGUUGGUGGGGUGAUGGCCUACCAAGGCGGUGACGGGUAGCCGGCCUGAGAGGGUGGGCGGCCACACUGGGACUGAGAUACGGCCCAGACUCCUGCGGGAGGCAGCAGUGGGGGGUAUUGCACAAUGGGCGGAAGCCUGAUGCAGCGACGUCGCGUGAGGGAUGGAGGCCUUCGGGUUGUGAACCUCUGUUUCCGGUGGUGAAGGCCCUGUCCGUGUGGUGGGGUUGACGGUAGCCGGGGAUGAAGCGCCGGCUAACUACGUGC